AACGAACGCUGGCGGCAGGCUUAACACAUGCAAGUCGAACGCAUCCUUCGGGGUGAGUGGCAGACGGGUGAGUAACGCGUGGGAACGUGCCCUUCAGUUCGGGAUAACCCAGGGAAACUUGGGCUAAUACCGGAUACGUGCGAGAGCAGAAAGAUUUAUCGCUGAAGGAUCGGCCCGCGUCUGAUUAGCUAGUUGGUGGGGUAAUGGCCCACCAAGGCGACGAUCAGUAGCUGGUCUGAGAGGAUGAUCAGCCACAUUGGGACUGAGACACGGCCCAAACUCCUACGGGAGGCAGCAGUGGGGAAUAUUGGACAAUGGGCGCAAGCCUGAUCCAGCCAUGCCGCGUGAGGGAUGACGGCCUUCGGGUUGUAAACCUCUUUCAGCAGGGAAGAAGCGAAAGUGACGGUACCUGCAGAAGAAGCACCGGCUAACUACGUGCCAGCCGCCGCCGUAA
Molecule: ribosomal RNA, 454 nt
Filed under: uncultured bacterium
Lineage: Bacteria
Description: partial 16S ribosomal RNA
Rfam family: Bacterial small subunit ribosomal RNA
Source: RNAcentral